UACGGAGGGAGCUAGCGUUGUUCGGAAUUACUGGGCGUAAAGCGCACGUAGGCGGCUUUGUAAGUUAGAGGUGAAAGCCCGGGGCUCAACCCCGGAAUUGCCUUUAAGACUGCAUCGCUUGAAUCCGGGAGAGGUGAGUGGAAUUCCGAGUGUAGAGGUGAAAUUCGUAGAUAUUCGGAAGAACACCAGUGGCGAAGGCGGCUCACUGGACCGGGUAUUGACGCUGAGGUGCGAAAGCGUGGGGAGCAAACAGG
Molecule: ribosomal RNA, 254 nt
Filed under: uncultured bacterium
Lineage: Bacteria
Description: partial 16S ribosomal RNA
Rfam family: Bacterial small subunit ribosomal RNA
Source: RNAcentral